Molecule: ribosomal RNA, 305 nt
Filed under: uncultured bacterium
Lineage: Bacteria
Description: bacterial SSU rRNA
Rfam family: Bacterial small subunit ribosomal RNA
Source: RNAcentral
CUGUCCUACGGGACGCAGCAGUUAGGAAUAUUCGUCAAUGGGGGAAACCCUGAACGAGCAAUGCCGCGUGAGUGAUGAAGGUCCUUUGGAUUGUAAAACUCUGUUGUAUGGGAAGAACGACCAGACUAGGAAAUGAGUUUGGAGUGACGGUACCAUGCCAGAAAGCUCCGGCUAACUACGUGCCAGCAGCCGCGGUAAUACGUAGGGAGCGCGCGUUAUCCGGAUUUAUUGGGCGUAAAGGGUGCGUAGGCGGCUUGUUAAGUAUGAAAUUAAAGCCCGGGGCUUACCUCCGGUUCGUUUCAUAA